CCUGCUUUUCCUCCAAUGAAUGAAGCGUGCCCAUCGAAAUAAAACUCAAAGUCAAACUGCGGUUGUUGUCUUAAUGAUCGAAUGUUCCGUUCCUAGCUGGAUGGUCUUUGUUACGGAGUAUUCAAUUCCUACUUAGUAGACGUGCAUUAUUUCCUUUAUUUUGUUCUUUAAAGAAUAAUAUUCAGGCGGGCAUAUUCUAUGGAAUAGUUGCUGUUUUCUGUUUCAGGUUGUGACUUCAGACUGUCAGCUGACAAGGGGUGCACCACUUUACCAGGUAUUCUCGGUAUUUGUUACUACUGCCUGUGGUAACAGCUUUACUUUUUUGAAAUAUGUAUCAUUGAUCACGUUUUCGGCAUUCAUCUGGAUGUUUCUGUAGUACUCAGGUGCUGCUCCUGAAGCUAACCCAUUCCAUGCAGUGUAGCGAGUCCUGUGUGAGAGAAACCUCUAACUGCCUCUAACCAGUUCCCGGAGCCGGAGGAGGACUCAGUCUGAGUCACACAUAUUCUCAGAAUCAUCAGAUUAGGCGAGGAGUUGUUGUCCUGAGUCAGAACAUCCUUUAAAACAGCUGCCCUCUCUGGGGUCUAGAGAGGCUUGGGGUGUUUCAGAGUCUCCUGGAGUAUUUAAUUUUAUGUGUGUGAAGGAUGGGUAUGAAGGGCUAGGAGUCAGGAAGAAAAGUUCACAUGGCUUUUGGCAGUUUCUCUAGUGGUCCCCCUAGUAAAGAAGUAGGGCAUUUUUAAAGUCACUUUACACUGAACACCAAUGGCUUCUUAUUAAUAAAAGCAAAAUUUGCAAGACAAAU
Molecule: long non-coding RNA, 799 nt
Filed under: Rattus norvegicus (Norway rat)
Lineage: Eukaryota; Metazoa; Chordata; Mammalia; Rodentia; Muridae
Description: long non-coding RNA NONRATT016172
Source: RNAcentral